CCUACGGGAGGCAGCAGUGAGGAAUAUUGGUCAAUGGACGAGAGUCUGAACCAGCCAAGUAGCGUGAAGGAUGACUGCCCUAUGGGUUGUAAACUUCUUUUAUAAAGGAAUAAAACGAGGCACGUGUGCCUUUUUGCAUGUACUUUAUGAAUAAGGAUCGGCUAACUCCGUGCCAGCAGCCGCGGUAAUACGGAGGAUCCGAGCGUUAUCCGGAUUUAUUGGGUUUAAAGGGAGCGUAGAUGGGUUGUUAAGUCAGUUGUGAAAGGUUGCGGCUCAACCGUAAAAUUGCAAUUGAUACUGGCAGUCUUGAGUACAGUUGAGGUAGGCGGAAUGCGUGGUGUAGCGGUGAAAUGCUUAGAUAUCACGAAGAACCCCGAUUGCGAAGGCAGCUUACUAAACUGUGACUGACAUUGAUGCUCGAAAGUGUGGGUAUCAAACAGGAUUAGAUACCCGUGUAGUC
RNAcentral lists this ribosomal RNA (460 nucleotides) under uncultured bacterium. RNAcentral's name for it is "partial 16S ribosomal RNA". It matches the Rfam family "Bacterial small subunit ribosomal RNA", at positions 338 to 795 of the family's 1533-position model. The record is from RNAcentral.